Molecule: unclassified non-coding RNA, 233 nt
Filed under: uncultured Mycobacteriales bacterium
Lineage: Bacteria; Bacillati; Actinomycetota; Actinomycetes; Mycobacteriales
Description: uncultured Corynebacteriales bacterium contains 16S-23S intergenic spacer region
Source: RNAcentral
AUACGUCAUCCCUCUCGGGAAACCGCGAUCCACAUGUCAAGGGUUGGUAAGGUUCUGCGCGUUGCAUCGAAUUAAUCCACAUGCUCCGCCGCUUGUGCGGGCCCCCGUCAAUUCCUUUGAGUUUUAGCCUUGCGGCCGUACUCCCCAGGCGGGGCGCUUAAUGCGUUAGCUACGGCACGGAUCCCGUGGAAGGAAACCCACACCUAGCGCCCACCGUUUACGGCGUGGACUAC